Long non-coding RNA from Priapulus caudatus, 350 nucleotides. RefSeq lists it as uncharacterized. NCBI's taxonomy places the organism in Eukaryota, Metazoa, Priapulida, Priapulimorpha, Priapulimorphida, Priapulidae. The transcript is spliced from 3 exons. The record is from RefSeq and is a predicted model, not a curated record.
AUAUCACAAGAUGGCGUGACCCUAUCUAUUCUAACAUUUCAAAUAUAAUAUACGUGGAAUGUUAUUCAACUUAUUUACAAUUAUGUGUAGGUAACUUGACAGGGUUAUGACGGAUGACACCUACACCUUUUAUGUUAGGUGUAUUUGACUGCGUUUAAUAAAUACUUCUGUUGAGGAUGGAUCCUGAAAGGAAGAGAAGGACGGAGUGCCUGGAGAAGAUGCUCACGGACACGAGGAGCAACAUCCACAUAGAUGGAGUCAUGGAUGGACUCCAGGCACUCGUCGACGAUCUCAACUUCCCCGGUCUACGGCGCAACAAGAACGUGGAGGCGUUCCUAGAACGAUGUAAG